Vidua chalybeata is the source of this 426-nucleotide long non-coding RNA. RefSeq lists it as uncharacterized. The transcript has 3 exons. NCBI's taxonomy places the organism in Eukaryota, Metazoa, Chordata, Aves, Passeriformes, Viduidae. The record is from RefSeq and is a predicted model, not a curated record.
UCUGAGCCAGUGCUGUCAGAUGAACUCUCCAGAAUCUGCUCAGCUGGAGUUGGGAAUACCAGCCAGAAAUAGCCAGCCCUGCUCAGAUGCCCCUGCAGUCAUGUCAGGAAGUGGUGUCGAGUUGGCAGCAGUAUAUACCAUCCCAGAGGAGGCUGUAAAAAGCUCAGCAAGUGGGAGAUGACAGAGCGACUCUGCUGCCUCUGCUUAGGAAGCAGGAGAAUUCUGAUAGGGAUAUAAAUUAUUGGAAGAGUGUCCAUCUCAGGAAUUGCAGACAGACAGAGCAGCUCUGAGGAAAUGCAAACUGUCAAAGAUGGUUUGUUUCAGCUGAGGCUUGAACAACAGCAGAAGUAGAAAGGAGCAAAGCACACUGGAGUCACUGUAUGUAAGUAUUCUCAAAUCAUUUCUUAGACAGUUCACUUACCUGAU